CACACCCCUCUGGCUAAUGUAUUUGAAUAGGCCAGGCAUACAGUAACGACAAUUAGCGCCCGCCGCUCCGCCGCCCGCUCCGCUGGCGGUCCGAUGGGGGACCGCUGACGGCCGAUGGCUGCCGAUGGCGGUCCGAUGGCGGUCGAUGGCGGUCGUAUCUCGACGAUACUGGUCGGCGCGUCGGUUCAAGGUGCCGCCCGGGGAACGACGGUGGCCGCCGGCGAAGAACCGACUAGGAGAAUUUCGGGACUGCAGGCAAUGAGCGGAACAAGUGAGAAAUAUCGGCGAAUGUGUAGCGCGAUGAAAACUGACGCCGGACCAUGGGGUUUUGGGAUAUAGAAAGGUGCUAAGGUAGGACGGUAAGAGGAAGAAAGAGCAUCCCGGAAAAUGGUGAGCAAUGACAGAAGAGUGGAAAGAAAAGACAGACGGUGUGAUUAACUGGUAUAGUUUGCCAGAUGAAGAGAGGAUAGAAAAGAAAAUGAUGUAAAAGAAAAAUAGAGAGGGAUGCUCAAAUAAGUGAGGUGAGAGAGGAGGCGGGAGAUUUAGAGAUGCCGAGAGAAGAGUGGGAGAGGAAUGCCGAGAUCAGGCGCUCUGUGCAGCGGCCGCCUUGCUGCCGUGUUGUGUGUGAUGCGAUCACUUGGCGUGCUGACGUAAGACUCCAGGGAGGAGGCGACCGACAGGCGCCCAGGGAGACAGGGCCUACGUAAUUCGGCGUCGUGGCGUCGCCUCCUCCGCGGGCGUCACCCGGCUGCCGUAUUUGGUCACGUGAUCCGAUAGUGGUGUCACGUGACCGGCAGUAAUCUGACGGAGAUCGGGGCGGAUCGGUGUGGCCGCCCGUGCCGGCGGCGAGCUGACAUCAGCACCGACGGAGGCCGCCGAACGGCGCCCCGACAGCGACACGGAAUGGUAUUGAACAACGCCGAACGGCACUGAACAGCGCUGAAUGGCGCAGCCAACGAAUGACACAGAACGGCGCCCAACGAACGACACAGAACGGAACAGUGUGGCAUUGAAUGGUGCAAAAUGACCGGAACGGCACCGAAUAUUUUGGUGGACAAUGAAUGAAUGAAUGAAUGAUAAAGAACACCUUGAAAUGACUCGGAAAUACUCAAAUUACCACUUGGAAUAGCGCAGCGCUGUAAGAGGCGCAAAAUAGCCACCGUAUACAGCGGAUGUGUCUCCCAAUGUCAAAUAAAUAAAUAUGAUAAGGCAUUGGAAGUCGCAGGUACCUUGAAAUGGACAGCACAGCCCUGUCGUUUGCGAUGACAAAAACUGCGCGGCGCGCGCAUCGACGAGGCGGAACUGGGCAGGGACUGGUCACUCGUGGUGUUGUGCACCGCGGAACAAGAUGGCAUGACUCGGCCCGGUGUCGUACAUGUUUGCAUUAUCACGGCGCUAGCACGGAGCGGUGUUUGCCCGGGCGCCGCGCCGGCCCGUCCCAGACAUGACAGAACACGGGAAAGGAAGGAACACCCGCCGGCGUGCCACGGAAUCGGCCGCCACCGCCGUGUCCAACAAGCUACCCGACAUGGAGAUUGCCGCCGCGUCAGCCGCCUGCCACCCCUCCAUCGGAUAGCGCCGACGACCUCAGACAGUGAGACUGAACACCGACCCUCCCUCGGUAACUCUCCCAGUACCACGUGCGGUGCCGACAUGGACAGAUUUGUCGUCACCAAGCGCCCGCUGCCGGCUGUCUCCUUAUACCAGCGGUGGCCGGUUUUGAUUGCCCUGACAGGGGGCAUCUGUCGCCAGCUUGCGGCCGCCGACGCCGGCGACGGAGAGCGUUAAUCUGGGAUCGAUGACGACGCCAUUGCCAUCGCAUUCUGCUCGUGUAGGAGCCACCGUGCAUGAUGCAACAAGAGUGUCGAGCUCGGGAGGGGUCAGAGGGGACCCGGCGACCGGCUGGACUGGGCUCGUCAGCAGAGGUGAUCACUGCUGACCAAUGGUAGCUCAUUUUGGGCACUUGUGCGUCAUCGGCUUCGGCCGGUGAUGGGCUGAACUGCAUUGGUAUGCCGGUAUUUCGAUACAUCGUGUCGGUCCUGUUGUGUUUGCAUUUAGACGUGUUGCAAUGUCUCAAGGAGGGAAAUGUUUCGGAAAUGAGGUGACCAAGACCAACUGAGCUAUCAAUGGGUUUAUUCAAAUUAUUGCUGAGGCUACCGUUGUGUCACGCGUUGUUACUAAAUGAGAAACUGGUUGGAGUGCGAUUGAAAUUCACCGAUGCGUAUGACUUUAUCACUUGUUUAAACUGGAUGUGUUUUUAUGCAUUUUGCUUCUUUUUUUAUGCAUAAACUGACUGCAAAUUAGAUACACUGGCAUGCCUACACUUUGCUAUGUAAGUGCAAGUAGCUUUUCUCACGGUGAAACUGUUCCUCUGUCAUGUUUGUAUACAUCUUCUACUGGUUCCGUACAUCAACACUUAUGCAUGUAACAUACGUACGAUCUGUGUGACAUUAAAUACUUAUAGUUCUU
RNAcentral lists this long non-coding RNA (2469 nucleotides) under Amphibalanus amphitrite. RNAcentral describes it as "uncharacterized LOC122371477". Lineage: Eukaryota; Metazoa; Arthropoda; Thecostraca; Balanomorpha; Balanidae. The record is from RNAcentral.